Molecule: ribosomal RNA, 465 nt
Filed under: uncultured bacterium
Lineage: Bacteria
Description: partial 16S ribosomal RNA
Rfam family: Bacterial small subunit ribosomal RNA
Source: RNAcentral
GACGAACGCUGGCGGCGUGCUUAACACAUGCAAGUCGAACGGAAAGGCCCCUUUGGGGGUCCUCGAGUGGCGAACGGGUGAGUAACACGUGAGUAACCUGCCCUUGACUUCGGGAUAACUUCAGGAAACUGGGGCUAAUACCGGAUAGGAAUCCUUGCUGCAUGGUGGGGGUUGGAAAGCUUCGGGGGGUUUGGGUGGACGCGCGGGUUUUCAGCUUGUUGGUGGGGGAGUGGGUUACCAAGGCUUUGACGGGUAGCCGGCCUGAGGGGGCGACCGGCCAAAUUGGGACUGAGAUACGGCCCAGACUCCCACGGGAGGCAGCAGGGGGGAAUAUUGCACAAUGGGCGGAAGCCUGAUGCAGCAACGCCGCGGGCGGGAUGACGGCCUUCGGGUUGUAAACCGGUUUCAGCAGGGGAGAAGCUUGUGGUGACGGUACCUGCAGAAGAAGCACCGGCUAACUACGUG